RNAcentral lists this ribosomal RNA (762 nucleotides) under Halomonas sp. RNAcentral describes it as "bacterial SSU rRNA". It matches the Rfam family "Bacterial small subunit ribosomal RNA", at positions 33 to 795 of the family's 1533-position model. Lineage: Bacteria; Pseudomonadati; Pseudomonadota; Gammaproteobacteria; Oceanospirillales; Halomonadaceae. The record is from RNAcentral.
GUGCAUGCGGCAGCUACCAUGCAAGUCGAGCGGUAACAGGGGUAGCUUGCUACCCGCUGACGAGCGGCGGACGGGUGAGUAAUGCAUAGGAAUCUGCCCGAUAGUGGGGGAUAACCUGGGGAAACCCAGGCUAAUACCGCAUACGUCCUACGGGAGAAAGGGGGCUCCGGCUCCCGCUAUUGGAUGAGCCUAUGUCGGAUUAGCUAGUUGGUAAGGUAAUGGCUUACCAAGGCAACGAUCCGUAGCUGGUCUGAGAGGAUGAUCAGCCACAUCGGGACUGAGACACGGCCCGAACUCCUACGGGAGGCAGCAGUGGGGAAUAUUGGACAAUGGGGGCAACCCUGAUCCAGCCAUGCCGCGUGUGUGAAGAAGGCCCUCGGGUUGUAAAGCACUUUCAGCGAGGAAGAACGCCUAUCGGUUAAUACCCGGUAGGAAAGACAUCACUCGCAGAAGAAGCACCGGCUAACUCCGUGCCAGCAGCCGCGGUAAUACGGAGGGUGCAAGCGUUAAUCGGAAUUACUGGGCGUAAAGCGCGCGUAGGUGGCUUGAUAAGCCGGUUGUGAAAGCCCCGGGCUCAACCUGGGAACGGCAUCCGGAACUGUCAGGCUAGAGUGCAGGAGAGGAAGGUAGAAUUCCCGGUGUAGCGGUGAAAUGCGUAGAGAUCGGGAGGAAUACCAGUGGCGAAGGCGGCCUUCUGGACUGACACUGACACUGAGGUGCGAAAGCGUGGGUAGCAAACAGGAUUAGAUACCCUUGGUAGUC